AGUGAACGCUGGCGGUAGGCCUAACACAUGCAAGUCGAACGGCAGCACAGAGGAGCUUGCUCCUUGGGUGGCGAGUGGCGGACGGGUGAGGAAUACACCGGAAUCUACUCUGUCGUGGGGGAUAACGUAGGGAAACUUACGCUAAUACCGCAUACGGCCUACGGGUGAAAGCAGGGGAUCUUCGGACCUUGCGCGAUUGAAUUAGCCGAUGUCGGAUUAGCUAGUUGGCGGGGUAAAGGCCCACCAAGGCGACGAUCCGUAGCUGGUCUGAGAGGAUGAUCAGCCACACUGGAACUGAGACACGGUCCAGACUCCUACGGGAGGCAGCAGUGGGGAAUAUUGGACAAUGGGCGCAAGCCUGAUCCAGCCAUACCGCGUGGGUGAAGAAGGCCUUCGGGUUGUAAAGCCCUUUUGUUGGGAAAGAAAUCCAUCUGGUUAAUACCCGGGUGGGAUGACGGUACCCAAAGAAUAAGCACCGGCUAACUUCGUGCCAGCAGCCGCCGUAA
Molecule: ribosomal RNA, 506 nt
Filed under: uncultured bacterium
Lineage: Bacteria
Description: partial 16S ribosomal RNA
Rfam family: Bacterial small subunit ribosomal RNA
Source: RNAcentral